UACGUAGGGGGCAAGCGUUGUCCGGAUUUAUUGGGCGUAAAGAGCUCGUAGGUGGUUCGGUAAGUCGGAUGUGAAAUCUCCAGGCUCAACCUGGAGGGGUCAUUCGAUACUGCCGUGACUAGAGUUCGGUAGGGGAGUGUGGAAUUCCUGGUGGAGCGGUGAAAUGCGCAGAUAUCAGGAGGAACACCCGUAGCGAAGGCGGCACUCUGGGCCGAUACUGACACUGAGACGCGAAAGCGUGGGGAGCGAACAGG
RNAcentral lists this ribosomal RNA (254 nucleotides) under uncultured bacterium. RNAcentral describes it as "partial 16S ribosomal RNA". It matches the Rfam family "Bacterial small subunit ribosomal RNA", at positions 524 to 776 of the family's 1533-position model. The record is from RNAcentral.